UACGGAGGGGGCGAGCGUUAUUCGGAAUUAUUGGGCGUAAAGGGCGCGUAGGCGGCCGGAUAAGUCAAAGGUGAAAUCCCUCGGCUCAACUGAGGAACUGCCUUUGAAACUGUUUGGCUCGAGUCCGGUAGGGGACCACGGAAUUCCUGGUGUAGCGGUGAAAUGCGCAGAUAUCAGGAGGAACACCGGUGGCGAAGGCGGUGGUCUGGGCCGGCACUGACGCUGAGGAGCGAAAGCGUGGGGAGCAAACAGG
RNAcentral lists this ribosomal RNA (253 nucleotides) under uncultured bacterium. RNAcentral describes it as "partial 16S ribosomal RNA". It matches the Rfam family "Bacterial small subunit ribosomal RNA", at positions 524 to 776 of the family's 1533-position model. The record is from RNAcentral.